GUGGUGUGUCUUUCUCAAACCAAACCAUAUGCCGUAUUUAUAACCGGGUUUCGGACUCGUCUUUUGGAAACCUUCGUAACAAAAGUCGUAUGCAAAAUGAUCAAACUAAUGCAUGCCUUCCUCAACCUCUUGGCUAAGAUGAAGUGUAUUACUGUUCAACAGUUUAGUAACAAUAUAAAUAAAAAGUCAAUAUCAGACUUCAAGUAGUUCAUAACUUUCUUCUUCCUUUUAAAAACAAACGACAUAAUUCUUUUUGUUUCAACUUAGUUUGAAAGGCAUGGUAUUUCAUCUUCUUUAUAAAUACGCAAAUGACAUUAGGAUAUUAACGAAAACAACAGAAAGAAUGAGAAGUUAUACCGAACAGUGAGUCCAAUGUAACUCCGGCGUCGUUUCCUCGA
This 398-nucleotide long non-coding RNA is filed under the name Helianthus annuus (common sunflower). Its description in RNAcentral is "sRNA HanXRQr2_Chr14g0634731". Lineage: Eukaryota; Viridiplantae; Streptophyta; Magnoliopsida; Asterales; Asteraceae. The record is from RNAcentral.